RNAcentral lists this ribosomal RNA (507 nucleotides) under uncultured bacterium. Its description in RNAcentral is "partial 16S ribosomal RNA". The record is from RNAcentral.
GGAGUUAGCCGGUGCUUCUUCUGUGAGUGAUGUCAUUCCUGCCGGCUAUUAACCCGCAGGCCUUCUUCCUCACUGAAAGUGCUUUACAACCCGAAGGCCUUCUUCACACACGCGGCAUGGCUGGAUCAGGGUUGCCCCCAUUGUCCAAUAUUCCCCACUGCUGCCUCCCGUAGGAGUCUGGGCCGUGUCUCAGUCCCAGUGUGGCUGAUCAUCCUCUCAGACCAGCUACGGAUCGUCGCCUUGGUGAGCCGUUACCUCACCAACCAGCUAAUCCGACAUAGGCUCAUCCGAUAGCGCGAGGCCCGAAGGUCCCCCGCUUUCCCCCGUAGGGCGUAUGCGGUAUUAGCCUGGGUUUCCCCCAGGUUAUCCCCCACUACCGGGCAGAUUCCUAUGCAUUACUCACCCGUCCGCCGCUCGCCACCAGGGAGCAAGCUCCCCGUGCUGCCGCUCGACUUGCAUGUGUUAGGCCUGCCGCCAGCGUUCAAUCUGAGCCAAAUCAAACUCUGA